GGAAUAUUGCACAAUGGGCGACAGCCUGAUGCCGCGACGCCGCGUGAGUGAAGAAGUAUUCCGGUAUGUAAAGCUCUAUCAGCAGGGAAGAAAAUGACGGUACCUGACAAAGAAGCCCCGGCUAACUACGUGCCAGCAGCCGCGGUAAUACGUAGGGGGCAAGCGUUAUCCGGAUUUACUGGGUGUAAAGGGAGCGUAGACGGCGAAGCAAGUCUGAAGUGAAAACCCAGGGCUCAACCCUGGGACUGCUUUGGAAACUGAUUUGCUAGAGUGUCGGAGAGGUAAGUGGAAUUCCUAGUGUAGCGGUGAAAUGCGUAGAUAUUAGGGGGAACACCAGUGGCGAAGGCGGCUUACUGGACGAUAACUGACGUUGAGGCUCGAAAGCGUGGAGAGCAAACA
RNAcentral lists this ribosomal RNA (399 nucleotides) under uncultured bacterium. RNAcentral's name for it is "bacterial SSU rRNA". It matches the Rfam family "Bacterial small subunit ribosomal RNA", at positions 358 to 774 of the family's 1533-position model. The record is from RNAcentral.